CCUACGGGAGGCAGCAGUGGGGAAUAUUGGACAAUGGGGGGAACCCUGAUCCAGCGACGCCGCGUGAAUGAAGAAGUACUUCGGUAUGUAAAGCUCUAUCCUCAGGGAAGAAAAAAGUGACGGUACCUGACGAAGAAGCCUCGGCUAACUACGUGCCAGCGGCCGCGGUAAUACGUAGGGGGCGAGCGUUAUCCGGAUUUACUGGGUGUAAAGGGUGCGUAGGUGGUGAUGCAAGUCUGAAGUGAAAGGCGGGGGCCCAACCUUCGAACUGCUAUUGAAACUGUUUGGCUGGAGUGCAGGAGAGGUAAGUGGAAUUCCUAGUGUAGCGGUGGAAUGCGUAGAUAUUAGGAGGAACACCAGUGGCGAAGGCGGCUUACUAGACUGUAACUGACGCUGAGGCUCGAAAGCGUGGGGAGCAAACAGGAUUAGAUACCCUUGUAGUC
RNAcentral lists this ribosomal RNA (443 nucleotides) under uncultured bacterium. RNAcentral's name for it is "partial 16S ribosomal RNA". It matches the Rfam family "Bacterial small subunit ribosomal RNA", at positions 338 to 795 of the family's 1533-position model. The record is from RNAcentral.